This 522-nucleotide ribosomal RNA is filed under the name Anandromesa sp. RNAcentral describes it as "partial large subunit ribosomal RNA". It matches the Rfam family "Eukaryotic large subunit ribosomal RNA", at positions 703 to 1137 of the family's 3401-position model. Lineage: Eukaryota; Metazoa; Arthropoda; Insecta; Hemiptera; Reduviidae. The record is from RNAcentral.
AAAACCCAAAGGCGAAAUGAAAGUAAAUAAAAAAAUAUGAUUUUAUCAGUUUUUUUAUAGGGAAGAUGAAAAGCAUGUCAGUAAUGGGUAUAGCUUGCUAUUAUUUGUUAUUGACAAAAGCUUUUCCGCACUCCCGGGGCGCUUGUUUCACGCUUUGCGAGUCACUGCGCACCUAGAGCGUACACGCUGAUACCCGAAAGAUGGUGAACUAUGCCUGGCCAGGACGAAGCCAGGGGAAACCCUGGUGGAGGUCCGCAGCGAUUCUGACGUGCAAAUCGAUCGUCGGAGCUGGGUAUAGGGGCGAAAGACCAAUCGAACCAUCUAGUAGCUGGUUCCCUCUGAAGUUUCCCUCAGGAUAGCUUGCGCUCGUUUGAUACGAGUCUCAUCCGGUAGAGCGAAUGAUUAGAGGCAUUGGGGUCGAAACGACCUCAACCUAUUCUCAAACUCCAAAUAGAUGAGAACCCCGGCUUUCUUAAAAAUGAAGCCGUGGGAUUCGGAUCAGAGUGCCAAGUGGGCCAAUUU